This is a long non-coding RNA of Vidua macroura (Pin-tailed whydah), 839 nucleotides long. RefSeq lists it as uncharacterized. The transcript has 4 exons. The record is from RefSeq and is a predicted model, not a curated record. NCBI's taxonomy places the organism in Eukaryota, Metazoa, Chordata, Aves, Passeriformes, Viduidae.
GAGGUGUUCCAUCACACAGAGGUGUUCCAUCACACUGAGAUGUUCCAUCACCAGGCUCCCUGUUGGUGCUCCCAGGGGAUGACUGUGGGGUUGAGCUGGCACUUUGUGCUGUGUGGCUGCACUUGCAGGUGGCAUUUGCACUUUCCCAGUUGCUGGCUGCUGGUGUGGAGCUGGAGCUGGGCUGCAGGGGUGAAUCUCUGAGAGACCAGGAAUAGACACCACUGGGAAAACACAGCUGCACCUGAGCCUGCAGAACUGCUCAAAGGGGCCAUCAGACAUCCCCCAGCUGCCUUGCUGGGCUGUGGCAGGCUGACACCACAGAAGAGUUGACACCAGUGGUCAUCACCACCCUCCUCUCACAUCACCUGAUCCAGUCAGCCUGAGAACCACUUGCUGCUCUUUGUGCAUCAUCUCCCAAACCUGUCUGAACUCUCUUUGGAGGGGUUGAGCACCUGCCAGAGACCUUCAAGAACAGCAGACACGAGCUCUCCACCCCCAGAGGCAGGAGGCCUUUGGCCCUGGCAGCACCCAGGUACAAAGGGAAAAGCCCAAACCUGAAACACAACGUGGAAAACGGAGCAGGUUGCUGUCCUUGCAGCACUGAGCCUCCAGAGCACGGAUUAAAGGCACUCACCCUCCAACACACACAGCUCCUCCAAGAACUAAAGACAUAAUGAGUGCCCUCACAACCUAUUAGCAGGCUUUAUAUUCUGAACAAGAGAACCUCGGGGCCCAGCCCGGAAAGGUCAGGAAGUUUUUUUCAGCUCAAACUAGACCUAAUCAAGUUUUUCCCAACAGCAAAUGCAGGAAAACACUGAUUUGUAAGGGGAGAAAUUUAA